RNAcentral lists this ribosomal RNA (579 nucleotides) under uncultured bacterium. Its description in RNAcentral is "bacterial SSU rRNA". It matches the Rfam family "Bacterial small subunit ribosomal RNA", at positions 102 to 677 of the family's 1533-position model. The record is from RNAcentral.
ACGGGUGAGUAAUGUCUGGGGAUCUGCCCGAUAGAGGGGGAUAACCACUGGAAACGGUGGCUAAUACCGCAUAACGUCGCAAGACCAAAGAGGGGGACCUUAGGGCCUCUCACUAUCGGAUGAACCCAGAUGGGAUUAGCUAGUAGGCGGGGCAAUGGCCCACCUAGGCGACGAUCCCUAGCUGGUCUGAGAGGAUGACCAGCCACACUGGAACUGAGACACGGUCCAGACUCCUACGGGAGGCAGCAGUGGGGAAUAUUGCACAAUGGGCGCAAGCCUGAUGCAGCCAUGCCGCGUGUAUGAAGAAGGCCUUCGGGUUGUAAAGUACUUUCAGCGGGGAGGAAGGCGGUGAGGUUAAUAACCUUGCCGAUUGACGUUACCCGCAGAAGAAGCACCGGCUAACUCCGUGCCAGCAGCCGCGGUAAUACGGAGGGUGCAAGCGUUAAUCGGAAUUACUGGGCGUAAAGCGCACGCAGGCGGUCUGUUAAGUCAGAUGUGAAAUCCCCGGGCUUAACCUGGGAACUGCAUUUGAAACUGGCAGGCUUGAGUCUCGUAGAGGGGGGUAGAAUUCCAGGUGUA